AGUGAACGCUGGCGGUAGGCCUAACACAUGCAAGUCGAACGGCAGCACAGUAAGAGCUUGCUCUUACGGGUGGCGAGUGGCGGACGGGUGAGGAAUACAUCGGAAUCUACUUUUUCGUGGGGGAUAACGUAGGGAAACUUACGCUAAUACCGCAUACGACCAACGGGUGAAAGCAGGGGAUCUUCGGACCUUGCCCGUUUGAAUGAGCUGAUUUCGGAUUAGCUAGUUGGCGGGGUAAAGGCCCACCAAGGCGACGAUCCGUAGCUGGUCUGAGAGGAUGAUCAGCCACACUGGAACUGAGACACGGUCCAGACUCCUACGGGAGGCAGCAGUGGGGAAUAUUGGACAAUGGGCGCAAGCCUGAUCCAGCCAUACCGCGUGGGUGAAGAAGGCCUUCGGGUUGUAAAGCCCUUUUGUUGGGAAAGAAAAGCAGCAGGUUAAUACCCCGCUGUUCUGACGGUACCCAAAGAAUAAGCACCGGCUAACUUCGUG
Molecule: ribosomal RNA, 492 nt
Filed under: uncultured bacterium
Lineage: Bacteria
Description: partial 16S ribosomal RNA
Rfam family: Bacterial small subunit ribosomal RNA
Source: RNAcentral